GCACUUGGCGAGUGCUAUACAUGCAAGUCGAGCGGACAGAUGGGAGCUUGCUCCCUGAUGUUAGCGGCGGACGGGUGAGUAACACGUGGGUAACCUGCCUGUAAGACUGGGAUAACUCCGGGAAACCGGGGCUAAUACCGGAUGGUUGUUUGAACCGCAUGGUUCAAACAUAAAAGGUGGCUUCGGCUACCACUUACAGAUGGACCCGCGGCGCAUUAGCUAGUUGGUGAGGUAACGGCUCACCAAGGCAACGAUGCGUAGCCGACCUGAGAGGGUGAUCGGCCACACUGGGACUGAGACACGGCCCAGACUCCUACGGGAGGCAGCAGUAGGGAAUCUUCCGCAAUGGACGAAAGUCUGACGGAGCAACGCCGCGUGAGUGAUGAAGGUUUUCGGAUCGUAAAGCUCUGUUGUUAGGGAAGAACAAGUACCGUUCGAAUAGGGCGGUACCUUGACGGUACCUAACCAGAAAGCCACGGCUAACUACGUGCCAGCAGCCGCGGUAAUACGUAGGUGGCAAGCGUUGUCCGGAAUUAUUGGGCGUAAAGGGCUCGCAGGCGGUUUCUUAAGUCUGAUGUGAAAGCCCCCGGCUCAACCGGGGAGGGUCAUUGGAAACUGGGGAACUUGAGUGCAGAAGAGGAGAGUGGAAUUCCACGUGUAGCGGUGAAAUGCGUAGAGAUGUGGAGGAACACCAGUGGCGAAGGCGACUCUCUGGUCUGUAACUGACGCUGAGGAGCGAAAGCGUGGGGAGCGAACAGGAUUAGAUACCCUGGUAGUCCACGCCGUAAACGAUGAGUGCUAAGUGUUAGGGGUUUCCGCCCCUUAGUGCUGCAGCUAACGCAUUAAGCACUCCGCCUGGGGAGUACGGUCGCAAGACUGAAACUCAAAGGAAUUGACGGGGGCCCGCACAAGCGGUGGAGCAU
RNAcentral lists this ribosomal RNA (923 nucleotides) under Bacillus sp. Na4-2. RNAcentral's name for it is "bacterial SSU rRNA". It matches the Rfam family "Bacterial small subunit ribosomal RNA", at positions 35 to 940 of the family's 1533-position model. Lineage: Bacteria; Bacillati; Bacillota; Bacilli; Caryophanales; Bacillaceae. The record is from RNAcentral.